This 218-nucleotide unclassified non-coding RNA is filed under the name Hevea brasiliensis (rubber tree). The record is from RNAcentral. Lineage: Eukaryota; Viridiplantae; Streptophyta; Magnoliopsida; Malpighiales; Euphorbiaceae.
ACACUUUUCAAGUACUUGCCAAGGUCACUGGGUGUUCAGUUCCAGAACUAUUUGCAGCAGGUGUUGCCUGCAAUUCUUGACGGUCUGGCUGACGAGAAUGAAUCUGUUCGGGAUGCGGCAUUAGGUGCUGGGCAUGUUCUGGUUGAACAUUAUGCAGCCACAUCUUUACCACUUCUCCUCCCUGCUGUGGAAGAUGGCAUUUUCAAUGACAGCUGGCG